CUCCGCCAACGGUUGGGCUUCACUUUGGUGACGAUCUGCCAUCUUUCACUCCUUUCCAGAACAGCUGCCUCAAAGCUCCUCACAGCCCUGCACACCCCUCCUCCUGGGCCGCCCUUCCCGCCUUCCGGAGGGAGAAUGCAUUCCCUUGACUCCGCUCAGCAAACCUAGGAUGGGGACAUGGGACUCGUGCGCAGCUGGGGAAGUCAGGGACGAAAAUACAGCCACUGCCCUCAAGGAACUUCUGAUUUUGUGGGAGAUACUGACAGGGCUGUAAAACAAGCAAACACACAAAGAAGACUCUGCGACAGAAACUAGAUGUCCACUCGCCAGCCAGGUCUGAUGUGUGAACCACCUCUACGGUAGGCUGGCUGGAGCCCUGCUGAAAGGUGGCUCUUCCAUCCAGGCCACAGUGACGAGAGAAGGAAAUCCCGGCUGCACCCCUCCUCCUCCCACCACCCUGCAGCCUCCUCCGUGCCAAGAACAGGGUGCCUGCUGUGAUUCCGAGGGACCGGGUGUGCUGGGGAUUGGUCUGUGCAGGGGCUGGGAGGAGCUCCUUCUCACACGCGGCUGCCUCGGGGCUUCACCCACGGGGUCGGGGAUGGGGUGGGGGCAAGUCUCACCAUCAUCGUUAUCAGCAUCAGCAUCAUGGGGCCAAAAUGAAAGUGUAUCAUGAAAAGUGUGUCUUUUAUCCAGAUAGACCAGUCAGUCAACAAUCAUUCUCUGAGAAUCUCCUGUCACCUCUUUGUUGUGCCCUCAGUGCCUGGACAGAAGUGUUCCACUUGAUGCUGAUCAAAAGGAAGAUGGGCUGUGGAUAAAGCUGACACCUGGAGAGGAAGGCAGAGCUGAGAGAACAGCAGAAUAUGAUGCUGGAGCCCAGAUCAUGCAAUGCCUGAAACUUACCCUACUCCAGUUAUCCAUGAGGAAACUGAGGCAGUGAGAGGUUAAGUAAUUUGCCCAAGGCCACACAACGAGCCAAGAAAUGAUAUUUGAACCCAAGUUGUUUGUGGCCAUGAGGUUUCCAAGGAAUGUAUGUACCCAAGAAGGCUCUGACAAGCAAAUGGCAGAGAAGGGGAGCAUAAAAUUAUGACAUGUGUUACAAUCAGCGAUGAAAUACAGGCACCUACUUCCCAUAAUGAGAGGCUGUGAGAGGACCAGAUGGGACAAUGGGUCUGAAACACUCACCACAGGGCCUGACAGAGAGCAGUGAUGGUAUCGAUGUCGAUGGUUAAAAAUCUGAUUAAUAAUAAUGGACCUACUUGGCUGGUAUUACGAUGUGUAACUGUUGCCCAGCUUUCUACGAGUAACCCUUCUUCUGACCCUUCACUGAAUGAUCCUGAAGGAGGAGAAACCAUAAUAAGUGCUUAUUUCUUUUAUAGCUCUCAGAAAGAUCAAUAAAAUCAGCUGACCAAUGAA
Non-coding RNA from Equus caballus (horse), 1413 nucleotides. Lineage: Eukaryota; Metazoa; Chordata; Mammalia; Perissodactyla; Equidae. The record is from RefSeq and is a predicted model, not a curated record.